UACAGAGGUCUCAAGCGUUGUUCGGAAUUACUGGGCGUAAAGGGCGCGCAGGCGGUCCUUCAAGUCAGAUGUGAAAGCCCCGGGCUCAACCUGGGAACAGCAUUUGAGACUGGAGGACUUGAGGACGGGAGAGGAGAGUGGAAUUCCCAGUGUAGAGGUGAAAUUCGUAGAUAUUGGGAAGAACACCAAUGGCGAAGGCAGCUCUCUGGACCGUUACUGACGCUGAGGCGCGAAAGCGUGGGGAGCAAACAGG
This 253-nucleotide ribosomal RNA is filed under the name uncultured bacterium. RNAcentral describes it as "partial 16S ribosomal RNA". It matches the Rfam family "Bacterial small subunit ribosomal RNA", at positions 524 to 776 of the family's 1533-position model. The record is from RNAcentral.